This 253-nucleotide ribosomal RNA is filed under the name uncultured bacterium. Its description in RNAcentral is "partial 16S ribosomal RNA". It matches the Rfam family "Bacterial small subunit ribosomal RNA", at positions 524 to 776 of the family's 1533-position model. The record is from RNAcentral.
UACGAAGGGGGCUAGCGUUGCUCGGAAUUACUGGGCGUAAAGGGCGCGUAGGCGGCACUGUUAGUCAGGCGUGAAAGUCCUGGGCUCAACCUGGGAACUGCGCUUGAUACGGCAGAGCUAGAGGAUGGAAGAGGGUCGCGGAAUUCCCAGUGUAGAGGUGAAAUUCGUAGAUAUUGGGAAGAACACCGGUGGCGAAGGCGGCCAUCUGGACCGCAACUGACGCUGAGGCGCGAAAGCGUGGGGAGCAAACAGG